Molecule: long non-coding RNA, 1089 nt
Filed under: Triticum aestivum (bread wheat)
Lineage: Eukaryota; Viridiplantae; Streptophyta; Magnoliopsida; Poales; Poaceae
Description: long non-coding RNA (TAES_LNC015757)
Source: RNAcentral
UGAUUUGGAGUUGGAUUUUGAAUAUGUUGAAGUUGAAGAAAAGAUAGACGAAGGUAAGAUCUAUCCAUUUUUGUUGGUUUCGUUUGCAUGCAUGAUGUUUUUACUCUUUUUGUUUAGUUCAUAACUAUGUGUUAUCUAUUUUGUUAGGCAUUAUUUCAUCACUUUUUGGAGUCAUUUAGAGCUUCAGGAGUACGAUUUGCCUAGCGAAGUGAGCUAUGAAGUUGAAGAUCAAGGUAUGAGCUUUGCAAUAAAUUGAUUUUUUUGUGCAUGCAAGGUCGUAAUUAGUUAGUCUUUUAGCUCAUCAUUAGCUAUGCAAUGUUAGUGAUUAGAGGUUAGAAAUAAUUUCAGACGACAGAUGUAGCAUUUAUAAUAUAAUUUUUAGAAGAGUAGGUUGAAGAUGUUGUAUCAAUGUUAGGUGCGUCCAUUAGUAUUGACAUGCAAGAAAUCUUAAUACGGUAAUUAAGAAACACUUGUAGUGUAAUUAUUCAUUGCAUGUGGUAUGUUAUUUCAUGUGGUAUGUUUAUUAAUAAGUCUAUAGUUAGAAGGUUGUAGGUCUACUUUGUUAUGUCGAAAUAAUGUAAAUUUUAUAUGUUACGAAUAUGUGCUAAUGUACUUGAUGAUGUAUGUAAUUAGGUAAAAUAAUUAAUCUUAGUAGCAAACAAGGAGGAGAUGACGUGAUUGAAGAAAUUGUGUUUCCAUCUUUGCUGUCCCUUUUGAGGUGAUGAUCAGAUACAUGCAAGUGCUAUUUUCAUACUUUUGAUAGCAGAAAGAAAAAUCCGUGUGUAAUAUUGAUGUUCAUAUGAUAAUAGGUUGACUCUGUUCAUAUAGUACUGGUGACGGAUAUUUAUUCAAACUAUUUGGACUCUUAAUUGCAUUCGCAAACACAUUCAUAUUAGAGCUAAGGUAUAAAAUGACGCCGUAAUUUUGUUAAUAUUUUUUAUAUUGAUGUACUGCCAUGCCGCUGCAAAUAUUAUUAUUUGUAAAUAAAUGAAUUUUAUCGUAUGAUAUGGAAAACAUUAUAUCAUGCCGUAAGAAAUUAGAUAUUUUACUCAUAUGAUAUUAAAAUGUUAUUAUCGUAAUAUUAUGUUU